Malaclemys terrapin pileata is the source of this 296-nucleotide long non-coding RNA. RefSeq lists it as uncharacterized. The transcript has 2 exons. Lineage: Eukaryota; Metazoa; Chordata; Testudines; Emydidae. The record is from RefSeq and is a predicted model, not a curated record.
CUUCCCCUCACCUGCUUCUCACGAAUCAAACGUUCGCUGCGGGAAACCUGAGGCAGGCGGGCAGCAGGUUGCAGCUGGAGUUUCAGAGGAUACUGUGAUUCCAGCCAGCAAUUUCCAAGGGUCACCUGGACUACAGCAACUUUGCCGAUAUGUGUUUCAUCCCUGAUGAAAGAUUGGUGGACCUGGAAAUAUGUCAUGGGCAUCCUGCUGCCUUUUGAAGUCAUAUUCAGUUUGUUGGCAUAGCCUCUUUAAGGACUUAUGCGAUACGGUUUGUUGACAAAGCAGCAUGAGUUUUA